GACGAACGCUGGCGGCGUGCCUAAUACAUGCAAGUAGAACGCAGUUGCGAACGGGUGAGUAACGCGUAGGUAACUGCCUCAUAGCGGGGGAUAACUUUUGGCAACGAUAGCUAAUCCCGCAUACUGGGAGAUGGACCUGCGUGGUAUUAGCUAGUUGGUGGGGUAAAGGCGCACCAAGGCGAGGAUACAUAGCCGACCUGGGAGGGGGGUCAGCGAGACUGGGACUGAGACACGGGCCAUACUGCUACGGGAGGCAGCAGAAGGGAAUCUUGGGGAAUGGACGGAAGGCUGACAGAGCAAAGCCGCGUGAGUGAAGAAGGGUGUCGGAGCGUAAAGCUCGGUUGUUAGAGAAGCGGUAACUAACCAGAAAGGGACGGCUAACUACGUGCCAGCCGCCGCGGUAAUAC
This 407-nucleotide ribosomal RNA is filed under the name uncultured bacterium. RNAcentral's name for it is "partial 16S ribosomal RNA". It matches the Rfam family "Bacterial small subunit ribosomal RNA", at positions 28 to 526 of the family's 1533-position model. The record is from RNAcentral.